CGCGUAUGAACGCAAACACGAGCGAUGAUGACUAUGAAAUGCGCCACGCCCUGGGGUGGUACACUGUGAGCGUCGCAGAAACGUACAUCGGCCGCCGCCCAGAUGGAGCUCGAGCCAUCCACACACACACACAUCUCGCCACCGGUAUCACUUGGCAGGACGUUGGGGUUCCUUGGUGGAAGCACUUCAACAUCUCGAAGAGAACACAACUUCGGAGUUCGGAGCAGAGCAGAAUGUUCCCAAACUGGUUGGCAAACCCUGAUGACCAGGGCCCAGGAUAUGUGUCCUUCGUUGUAGUGCGGCAGGAGGACCAGCGUGGGGACAAAGACGCUGUUGUACAGCCAGAUGCCGAAGACCAUGCUGACACACAGCCAUCCCAGAGGGUCCACCACGAAGUGCAGACGCAGCUUCAUGACCCAGGAAGACCUAGGAGGACCAUAACAAUAACAACUACUCAACAUGUCUUCCCCUAUUAGACAUCCAUGACUCCAGUCCCUCGUCUAAUAAAGAAAUAGCUUUGACCAGGACUAAGGUAGUCUCAUAUGAUGGCUCAGAAGUUAGAUAGAGUACAGCGCUGCAAUACGUUACCUAUUUGGUGGUGUUUACAGCGCUGAGAAUAAGCAUUAUAAAUCAUUCAGUGAUAAAACAUAACAGGUAUUUGAUAAAACCGUACUUUGUCCAAUGACAGCCUACAUUUAGAUGGUAGAAAACAUACGCCUAGUACCUAACCUCACGCGUCUUUAUUUACUACGCAUAGGAUCCAUGUUAACCAUCAUUCAAAUCUGAGUGACCUUCCAUUCAGUGUUUUCCAGUCCUACAGUCCCACACGUCCCACACAGUGACGGCUGCAGCUGGUCCAACAUUAACCCACGCAGAACCUGUUUCUAUUGACCUUGGUGUGGCUGCAGUUUGAUCCGAGGAUGAAUGGAUGGGCAGGGGUGCAGUCCGUCUCUGGAGGGCUGCUCCUCAGCAGCAGUCACACAACGCUCCAAGCAAUCCUAGAAACAGACAACCUGAUACAGCAACCUACACCAACAUCACAGGCUGAAGGCAUGACUAUUCUAUCCCUCCAUACGGACAGCAUGAGUAUUUACCUUUUCGUUAGUGCUGUCUGAUUAAAAGAUAACAACAU
Molecule: long non-coding RNA, 1132 nt
Organism: Gadus morhua (Atlantic cod)
Lineage: Eukaryota; Metazoa; Chordata; Actinopteri; Gadiformes; Gadidae
Exons: 2
Source: RefSeq, a predicted model, not a curated record